This 571-nucleotide long non-coding RNA is filed under the name Mus musculus (house mouse). RNAcentral's name for it is "predicted gene, 33801". The record is from RNAcentral. Lineage: Eukaryota; Metazoa; Chordata; Mammalia; Rodentia; Muridae.
UCAAUGGGGUCUUUGCUUUGCAGCUGUGUGACACUGCAGGGACUUGCAGGAGACUAACAGGUGCAAUUUAUCCCAAGAGUACUUCCAGAGUAUUUUCAAGCCCCCGUCCUCUGUGAGGCCGCCAAGAUGCACGUGGUCAUCUUUCUGGCAUCUGAAGGAACCAAAUUUAGUCGAGAUGCAGCCGAGGACAAGGUGUCUCUCAGGAGGCAGAGGACUCACAUCGUCAGGCAUCCUCGGGGUCCCUGGAGUGCAGCCUCUGUCUGAGACUCUCGUGGACCUCACCCCAAUGUGACCCUGGCUGGGGGUUUCAAGGUAUGUCAGCAAACUUCUGCUUCUGAGAGAAUUCCCCAGUCAGGGAGGAGCGGGGCUUUCCUGCCAGAAUGCAGAGUUCAACAGAUAGUGUCCUGAAUGACCAGCCGCUGUAGGGACAGUGGGCACUCACGUCUCAAAGAUGAGAGCAAAGCAGAAAAUGACGGGCUCAUCCACCGGCAGCUGGGACCCUGCAACUCUGGAGUCCUCUAACCCUGCCCAUCUUGGCAUGAGUCCUGGAAGGUGACUCUCAGGGGUUUAA